Molecule: ribosomal RNA, 456 nt
Filed under: Triticum aestivum (bread wheat)
Lineage: Eukaryota; Viridiplantae; Streptophyta; Magnoliopsida; Poales; Poaceae
Description: partial small subunit ribosomal RNA
Source: RNAcentral
AUGAACCUUUACCCGAGCAGCCAAAAUACAGCUUCGGUUCUGCCAUGCUAUCAUGCACAAAAAGCUCCAUUACUUUGUGUCGCCUAUGAGUUUCUACAGUUGUGGUCCUGGGAAUACCUCCCUGUAGGACGACCUCGUAUAGUACAACCCAUAUACCCAUACGACUUUGGCAAGGGUGCUAGCGCAACUAUGGCCACCAGGUGGACAAAGGCACAGAAACGUUGGUCUCCAGAUACUGCGAAAAAUUGUUACCCUAUGUACCACCAGCAGUUUGAGAUACUUGAUGAGGCAGAAGUCACAUGGAACCCGUGGACUCAGGACCAGCUAAAAAUGGUCUUUGAUGCUCGACACUUCACACCAGGCAUGUUGACCGAUAGUGCAUUCUGGCUGACUCACUGCAACUUAUUGUUUCUGUGGUGUGUUGAACCUUACAACCCAGAGCGUGUAAUGAGAUAG